CAUUGCCCACAUGGUGUGUUGGUUGGUACGGGUGGAGAGUAGCGGAUGGUGGGUCGAGUAGUCUCCCCAAAUGGGCUUCAAUACAUUCAUUGGUAUUUCAUGUGAUAUUGAAAUGGGCUUGCAUACAUCCAUUGACAUUACAUGUGAUAUUGAAAUAGGCCUAAGGGCCAUACCGUUUACAAUAAAGGCUUCGGGCCAAUGAUAUGAUUUAUGAAAAGGCUUCGGCCCAGUGAUAUGAUUUAUGAAAAGGC
RNAcentral lists this long non-coding RNA (251 nucleotides) under Gossypium barbadense (sea-island cotton). RNAcentral describes it as "long non-coding RNA (GBAR_LNC012522)". Lineage: Eukaryota; Viridiplantae; Streptophyta; Magnoliopsida; Malvales; Malvaceae. The record is from RNAcentral.